Molecule: long non-coding RNA, 327 nt
Organism: Saccostrea cuccullata (small rock oyster)
Lineage: Eukaryota; Metazoa; Mollusca; Bivalvia; Ostreida; Ostreidae
Exons: 3
Source: RefSeq, a predicted model, not a curated record
UGUGGAAAUAUGUGAAAUCUGGCACAGACUUUUAAAGAGCCUCAUGAGCAUGAUGAAUAAUUUAUCUUGAGGAGUUGGCUGUUGCCUCUUUCAGUCAAGCAACAAAGAUUAUAUACCUAGUCUGUACAUGGAUUUCAUAGACCUGAUUUCAAUGAUCAGGGCUCUCUUUUAACUGGCUGGCAGAGAAAGUUGCUGGCUCUGUCCAUUUACAGAAGAAAAAGAGGAACACUAAGGUCUGAUGUCUGCAUGUAGAUAGUCUCAGGGUACUUUAAUGGACCCUUACUUGUAGUUAAUGGAACAAUUCUGUAGUUUAAAAUUUUUUCUGUA